This is a non-coding RNA of Delphinapterus leucas (beluga whale), 279 nucleotides long. The record is from RefSeq and is a predicted model, not a curated record. NCBI's taxonomy places the organism in Eukaryota, Metazoa, Chordata, Mammalia, Artiodactyla, Monodontidae.
UUUCUUCUUACAAAGUCUAUGGAAGUGUGCUUUACCUCGCAAUUCCAUUCCUCCUUGUUAAUCGUCAUCAAGCUGCCUUUAAAGCCAGCAGACAAAUGGAAUGUCCCUGAGUGUUGAGUUCAUCUAAAUGCCUGCAGGAGAAACUCCGUUCCCUCAAAUGGGUGUGGGAGUGAUAUGAAGAUUUGCUCAAAGCCGAAGAGCUUCAAAAUUAAAGCAAGAGAUUAGCUACAGAUGGAAAAGAAUCAGAUUGCUAUUGGACUUCUCAGUGGCUAUACUGGA